AUACAUGCAAGUCGAACGAGUUCUGAUUAUUGAAAGGUGCUUGCAUCUUGAUUUAAUUUUGAACGAGUGGCGGACGGGUGAGUAACACGUGGGUAACCUGCCCUUAAGUGGGGGAUAACAUUUGGAAACAGAUGCUAAUACCGCAUAAAUCCAAGAACCGCAUGGUUCUUGGCUGAAAGAUGGCGUAAGCUAUCGCUUUUGGAUGGACCCGCGGCGUAUUAGCUAGUUGGUGAGGUAACGGCUCACCAAGGCAAUGAUACGUAGCCGAACUGAGAGGUUGAUCGGCCACAUUGGGACUGAGACACGGCCCAAACUCCUACGGGAGGCAGCAGUAGGGAAUCUUCCACAAUGGACGCAAGUCUGAUGGAGCAACGCCGCGUGAGUGAAGAAGGCUUUCGGGUCGUAAAACUCUGUUGUUGGAGAAGAAUGGUCGGCAGAGUAACUGUUGUCGGCGUGACGGUAUCCAACCAGAAAGCCACGGCUAACUACGUGCCAGCAGCCGCGGUAAUACGUAGGUGGCAAGCGUUAUCCGGAUUUAUUGGGCGUAAAGCGAGCGCAGGCGGUUUUUUAAGUCUGAUGUGAAAGCCCUCGGCUUAACCGAGGAAGUGCAUCGGAAACUGGAAAACUUGAGUGCAGAAGAGGACAGUGGAACUCCAUGUGUAGCGGUGAGAUGCGUAGAUAUAUGGAAGAACACCAGUGGCGAAGGCGGCUGUCUGGUCUGUAACUGACGCUGAGG
This 736-nucleotide ribosomal RNA is filed under the name uncultured Bacilli bacterium. RNAcentral describes it as "bacterial SSU rRNA". It matches the Rfam family "Bacterial small subunit ribosomal RNA", at positions 51 to 751 of the family's 1533-position model. Lineage: Bacteria; Bacillati; Bacillota; Bacilli. The record is from RNAcentral.